Arabidopsis lyrata subsp. lyrata is the source of this 336-nucleotide long non-coding RNA. RefSeq lists it as uncharacterized. NCBI's taxonomy places the organism in Eukaryota, Viridiplantae, Streptophyta, Magnoliopsida, Brassicales, Brassicaceae. The record is from RefSeq and is a predicted model, not a curated record. The transcript is spliced from 5 exons.
UUUGAUGUUAUCUGUUACAGGAAUUAUCAAGUCGAGAUGCUUCCCCAAAACACAGGAAACCUAUUCAGGAUUCCCUAAUUGAAGAUAAAGGGGAGGAGGAAUUACAAUGUUUAGAUGCUUCCCCAAAAGACAGGGAACUUAUUCAGGACUCCCAAACCGAAGCUAAAGGGGAUGAAGAGAAACAAUCAAGUGGAGAUGCUCUUCCAAAAGACAGGGAACCUAUUAAGGUAUAAUGUCUCUCUCAUUUUCGACUCUCAUAUCUUACCCAGUUAACCUUUUAUUAGGAACUAAUCAAUUAAUUAUCUGUUAAUAGGAUUCUCAAACUGAAGGCGAUAA